CGGCCCAACAAGCCUGUAAUCGGUACGGGUUGUGGGAGCAAGAGCCCGGAGAUGGAUUCUGAGACAUGAAUCCAGGCCCUACGGGGCGCAGCAGGCGCGAAAACUUUACAAUGCGGGAAACCGUGAUAAGGGAACCCCGAGUGCCCGUAGAAUCGGGCUGUUGAUCUGUGUAAAAAGCAGGUAAAGAAAGGGCCGGGCAAGACCGGUGCCAGCCGCCGCGGUAAUACCGGCGGCUCGAGUGGUGGCCACUAUUACUGGGCUUAAAGCGUUCGUAGCUGGGUUGUUAAGUCUCUUGGGAAAUCCACCGGCUCAACCGAUGGGCGACCAGGGGAAACUGGCAUUCUAGGGACCGGGAGAGGUGAGAGGUACUCCAGGGGUAGGAGUGAAAUCCUGUAAUCCUUGGGGGACCACCGAUGGCGAAGGCAUCUCACCAGAACGGCUCCGACAGUGAGGAACGAAAGCUGGGGGAGCAAACCGGAUUAGAUACCCGGGUAGUCCCAGCUGUAAACGAUGCGCGUUAGGUGUAUCGGUGACCACGAGUUACCGAGGUGCCGAAGGGAAACCGUGAAACGCGCCG
Molecule: ribosomal RNA, 577 nt
Filed under: uncultured archaeon
Lineage: Archaea
Description: bacterial SSU rRNA
Rfam family: Archaeal small subunit ribosomal RNA
Source: RNAcentral